This 353-nucleotide unclassified non-coding RNA is filed under the name Hevea brasiliensis (rubber tree). Lineage: Eukaryota; Viridiplantae; Streptophyta; Magnoliopsida; Malpighiales; Euphorbiaceae. The record is from RNAcentral.
AGAGAGCUUGAAUAUACUAGAACACUUCGAUUUCUCUAUUCCAUUGACCUUUCAGGAAAUAACUUUGUUGGAAACAUUCCAAAAGAGUUGAUGAAUCUUUCAGGUCUACAAAACCUGAAUUUGUCUAGAAACAAAUUAGAUGGGCAUAUCCCUUGGAACAUUGGCAAGUUAAAAUCACUAGAAUCGCUUGACUUGUCUAAAAAUGAUCUUUCUGGCUCUAUUCCACCCAGCAUUUCUGAUUUGAACUUUUUAAGUCAAUUGAAUUUGUCAUUUAAUCACUUAUCUGGACGAAUUCCUUUGGGAAAUCAACUUCAGACUUUAGAUGACAGAUCCAUCUACAUUGGCAACAAUGG